Molecule: ribosomal RNA, 1234 nt
Filed under: metagenome
Description: bacterial LSU rRNA
Rfam family: Bacterial large subunit ribosomal RNA
Source: RNAcentral
UGAUGACGAGGUUCUACGGAACCGAAGUGACCGAUGCCAUGCUUCCGGGAAAAGCCUCUAAGCUUCAGGUGACAGUGGACCGUACCCGAAACCGACACAGGUGGGUAGGUAGAGUAUACUAAGGGGCGCGAGAUAACUCUCUCUAAGGAACUCGGCAAAAUGACUCCGUAACUUCGGGAGAAGGAGUGCCUUAUUUAUAAGGUAGCAAUAACAAGAUCCAAGCAACUGUUUAUCAAAAACACAGGUCUCCGCUAAGUCGUAAGACGAUGUAUGGGGGCUGACGCCUGCCCAGUGCCAGAAGGUUAAAGAAGUUGGUUAGUGUAUGCGAAGCUGAUGACUGAAGCCCUGGUGAACGGCGGCCGUAACUAUAACGGUCCUAAGGUAGCGAAAUUCCUUGUCGGGUAAGUUCCGACCCGCACGAAAGGCGAAAUGAUUUGGAUACUGUCUCGGAGAGAGGCUCGGUGAAAUAGACUUGUCUGUGAAGAUGCGGACUACCUGCACCAGGACAGAAAGACCCUAUGAAGCUUUACUGUAACUUGAAAUUGGAAUUGGACUUUGCUUGCGCAGUAUAGGUGGGAAGCGUUGAAGAUAUUCUUGCGGGAGUAUUGGAGCUAUCAGUGAGAUACCACUCUUGUAAUGUUAGAUUUCUAACUUUGAACCAUAAUCUGGUCAAAGAACAGUUUCAGGUGGGCAGUUUGACUGGGGCGGUCGCCUCCCAAAUGGUAACGGAGGCGUACAAAGGUUUCCUCUGAACGGAUAGAAAUCGUAUCUAGAGUGUAAAGGCAUAAGGAAGCUUGACUGUGAGACCUACAAGUCGAGCAGGGACGAAAGUCGGUCUUAGUGAUCUGACGGUACUGAGUGGAAAGGCCGUCACUCAACGGAUAAAAGUUACUCUAGGAUAACAGGCUGAUCUCCCCCAAGAGUUCACAUCGACGGGGAGGUUUGGCACCUCGAUGUCGGCUCAUCGCAUCCUGGGGCGGUAGUACGUCCCAAGGGUUGGGCUGUUCGCCCAUGAAAGCGGUACGCGAGCUGGGUUCAGAGCGUCGUGAGACAGUUCGGUCCAUAUCCGGUGUAGGCGUUAGAAUAUUGAGAGGAGCCUUCUUUAGUACGAGAGGACCGAGAAGGACACACCGCUGGUGUACCAGUUAUCGUGCCAACGGUAAACGCUGGGUAGCUAUGUGUGGAGUGGAUAACCGCUGAAAGCAUCUAAGUGGGAGGCCCACCUCAAGAUGAG